Molecule: ribosomal RNA, 468 nt
Filed under: uncultured bacterium
Lineage: Bacteria
Description: partial 16S ribosomal RNA
Rfam family: Bacterial small subunit ribosomal RNA
Source: RNAcentral
GACGAACGCUGGCGGCGUGCUUAACACAUGCAAGUCGAACGGAAAGGCCCUGCUUUUGUGGGGUGCUCGAGUGGCGAACGGGUGAGUAACACGUGAGUAACCUGCCCUUGACUUUGGGAUAACUUCAGGAAACUGGGGCUAAUACCGGAUAGGAGCUCCCGCUGCAUGGUGGGGGUUGGAAAGUUUCGGCGGUUGGGGAUGGACUCGCGGCUUAUCAGCUUGUUGGUGGGGUAGUGGCUUACCAAGGCUUUGACGGGUAGCCGGCCUGAGAGGGUGACCGGCCACAUUGGGACUGAGAUACGGCCCAGACUCCUACGGGAGGCAGCGGUGGGGAAUAUUGCACAAUGGGCGGAAGCCUGAUGCAGCAACGCCGCGUGCGGGAUGACGGCCUUCGGGUUGUAAACCGCUUUCGCCUGUGACGAAGCGUGAGUGACGGUAAUGGGUAAAGAAGCACCGGCUAACUACGUG